Peromyscus californicus insignis is the source of this 950-nucleotide long non-coding RNA. RefSeq lists it as uncharacterized. Lineage: Eukaryota; Metazoa; Chordata; Mammalia; Rodentia; Cricetidae. The transcript is spliced from 6 exons. The record is from RefSeq and is a predicted model, not a curated record.
CCUGAACUCAGUAACUAACCAGUGGCUAAAACAUCAUCCCAGGAAAGUGAGCAAUAAAUCUCUUAAGUUGGAAACUUGUGUAAAUAACCCGAGAUGAAGGGCAGAAGAACACACCUCCAGCUUUGCAGAAGCUGCAGUGAGGUCUUAUGAAGUGAGCAGUGACCUAGUGCCUGGUUUCCAGCAGGUCUCUCAUAGGCAGAAACAUGGGGCCAUUCUCAACAGGCCAUUCUCCACCACAGCCCAGUCAGCGGGCCAAGAAGCAGAUCUGAAAGAAAGGAACAGUGGAUCUACUUUGCUGAUUUGUAGCAAUGAUAUUUCAUUCUAUGAGCCAACACCCCAAGAAAGAGGGCAUCAUGGAGCCUCUCUGAGAAACGCAGUGCACUUAUCAGGAUGUGGCUCUCAGCUACUGCUCCAGCACCUGCCAUGCCUGCUGUCAUGUUGCUGCCAUGGUGAUUAUAGACUAAAUGCUUUCUUAUUCGAGCUGCCUUGGUCAUCGGGUCUCUUCACAGCAACAGUUCAAUGACUGAGACACAAGCAAUGUGAUUCAAAAGGAACAACCCUGGUCUACUUCAAAAGUAAUGAAGAUGAGAACCGAUGGACUGCUUCCAGGCUAAUAUGGUUUGAUCAACCAAGACCCUCUGAGAGGUUGAUACAGCCUCACAGACUGCUACAGUCAAGAUUUAACUAUGAUUCUUAAUUUUCUCAGGAUUCCCAUAAGAUUGCCAGCACCCCCAACCAGUAGAGCAAAACCUGUUGCUGAUGCCUCUGACGUUUUUCUUUCUCUUCUGGAAAAGACAAGCCCCACGGAGUGAAAUUCUACACGCUUACGCCUCAAUGGCUCUACACCUUCCACACUCCAAGCACAUUGCCCCCACUGGAUUCCACCAUAGUGAGGACAUGCCUGCCCAUCAUCACUAAUCAGCAUCUCACCUUCCACUCAGCAACCUUCC